UACGUAGGUGGCAAGCGUUGUCCGGAAUUAUUGGGCGUAAAGCGCGCGCAGGUGGUUCUUUAAGUCUGAUGUGAAAGCCCACGGCUCAACCGUGGAGGGUCAUUGGAGACUGGGGAACUUGAGUGCAGAAGAGGAAAGUGGAAUUCCAAGUGUAGCGGUGAAAUGCGUAGAGAUUUGGAGGAACACCAGUGGCGAAGGCGACUUUCUGGUCUGUAACUGACACUGAGGCGCGAAAGCGUGGGGAGCAAACAGG
Molecule: ribosomal RNA, 253 nt
Filed under: uncultured bacterium
Lineage: Bacteria
Description: partial 16S ribosomal RNA
Rfam family: Bacterial small subunit ribosomal RNA
Source: RNAcentral